Molecule: ribosomal RNA, 496 nt
Filed under: uncultured bacterium
Lineage: Bacteria
Description: partial 16S ribosomal RNA
Rfam family: Bacterial small subunit ribosomal RNA
Source: RNAcentral
GAUGAACGCUGGCGGCGUGCCUAAUACAUGCAAGUCGAGCGAACAGACGAGGAGCUUGCUCCUCUGACGUUAGCGGCGGACGGGUGAGUAACACGUGGAUAACCUACCUAUAAGACUGGGAUAACUUCGGGAAACCGGAGCUAAUACCGGAUAAUAUAUUGAACCGCAUGGUUCAAUAGUGAAAGACGGUUUUGCUUUCACUUAUAGAUGGAUCCGCGCCGCAUUAGCUAGUUGGUAAGGUAACGGCUUACCAAGGCGACGAUGCGUAGCCGACCUGAGAGGGUGUUCGGCCACACUGGACCUGAGACACGGUCCAGACUCCUACGGGAGGCAGCAGUGGGGAAUCUUCCGCAAUGGGCGAAAGCCUGAGGGAGCAACGCCGCGUGGGUGAUGAAGGUCUUCGGAUCGUAAAACUCUGUUAUUAGGGAAGAACAAAUGUGUAAGUAACUAUGCACGUCUUGAGGGUACCUAAUCAGAAAGCCACGGCUAACUACGU